This 550-nucleotide ribosomal RNA is filed under the name Psychrolutes sigalutes (soft sculpin). RNAcentral describes it as "partial 16S ribosomal RNA". It matches the Rfam family "Bacterial large subunit ribosomal RNA", at positions 1851 to 2601 of the family's 2925-position model. The record is from RNAcentral. Lineage: Eukaryota; Metazoa; Chordata; Actinopteri; Perciformes; Psychrolutidae.
GGUCCCGCCUGCCCUGUGACUAUUUGUUUAACGGCCGCGGUAUUUUGACCGUGCGAAGGUAGCGCAAUCACUUGUCUUUUAAAUGGAGACCCGUAUGAAUGGCAUAACGAGGGCUUAACUGUCUCCUCUUUCAAGUCAAUGAAAUUGAUCUUUCCGUGCAGAAGCGGGAAUAUAAACAUAAGACGAGAAGACCCUAUGGAGCUUUAGACACUAUAGCAGCCCACGUUAAGCACCCUGAAUAAAGGACUAAACCAAGUGGGCCCUGUUUUGAUGUCUUUGGUUGGGGCGACCGCGGGGAAUUAAAGAACCCCCAUGUGGAGCGGGAAUACUUUUCCUACAACUAAGAGCUACAGCUCUAGAAAACAGAACUUCUGACCAACAAGAUCCGGCACUGCCGAUCAACGGACCGAGUUACCCUAGGGAUAACAGCGCAAUCCUCUUUUAGAGCCCAUAUCGACAAGGGGGUUUACGACCUCGAUGUUGGAUCAGGACAUCCUAAUGGUGCAGCCGCUAUUAAGGGUUCGUUUGUUCAACGAUUAAAGUCCUACGU